Molecule: transfer RNA, 72 nt
Filed under: Bos taurus (domestic cattle)
Lineage: Eukaryota; Metazoa; Chordata; Mammalia; Artiodactyla; Bovidae
Also listed under: 1 other name
Rfam family: tRNA
About the family: Transfer RNA (tRNA) molecules are approximately 80 nucleotides in length. Their secondary structure includes four short double-helical elements and three loops (D, anti-codon, and T loops).
Source: Rfam by way of RNAcentral
UCCCUGGUGGCUCAGACGGUAAAGUGUCUGCCUGCAAUGCGGGAGACCCAGGUUUGAUUCCUGGGUCGGGAA